UCGAGAAUCUUCGGCAAUGAGCGCAAGCUUGACCGAGCGACGCCGCGUGCGGGAUGAAGGCCUUCGGGUUGUAAACCGCUUUGGUCCGAAAGAAAGGGUAAAACUUGAUCGAUCGGAGAAACAAGGACGGGCUAAGUUCGUGCCAGCAGCCGCGGUAAUACGUAGGGGGCAAGCGUUGUCCGGAAUCAUUGGGCGUAAAGCGCGCGUAGGCGGCCAGAUAAGUCCGGUGUGAAAGUCAAAGGCUCAACCUUUGAAUGCCGCUGGAAACUGUCUGGCUAGAGUCCGGAAGGGGCGAGUGGAACUCCUGGUGUAGCGGUGAAAUGCGCAGAUAUCAGGAAGAACACCAAUGGCGAAGGCAGCUCGCUAGGACGGUACUGACGCUAAGGCGCGAAAGCGUGGGGAGCAAACAGGAUUAGAUACCCCCGUAGUCCCUGAGCGGGCUGGCAAGGCGCAU
Molecule: ribosomal RNA, 454 nt
Filed under: uncultured bacterium
Lineage: Bacteria
Description: bacterial SSU rRNA
Rfam family: Bacterial small subunit ribosomal RNA
Source: RNAcentral